Molecule: ribosomal RNA, 300 nt
Filed under: uncultured Lactobacillus sp.
Lineage: Bacteria; Bacillati; Bacillota; Bacilli; Lactobacillales; Lactobacillaceae
Description: bacterial SSU rRNA
Rfam family: Bacterial small subunit ribosomal RNA
Source: RNAcentral
GCAAACCUCGGUCCACAGGGCCGGGGACGACGGAGGUGACGAGCGUUAUCCGGAAUGACGGGGCGUAAAGGUCACGCUGGCGGGGCGUUAAGGCUGACGUGAAAUCUCCUGGCUUAAGUGGUAGGGGUCGUUGGAAACUGAUGUGCUUGGGGCGGUGAGAGGGGUGUAGAAUUCCCGGUGUAGUGGUGGAAUGCGUAGAUAUCGGGAGGAAUACCAGUGGCGAAAGCGGCACCCUGGCACUAGCCUGACGCUCAUGUGCGAAGGCGUGGGGAGCGAACGGGAUUAGAUACCCCUGUAGUC